RNAcentral lists this ribosomal RNA (227 nucleotides) under uncultured bacterium. RNAcentral describes it as "partial 16S ribosomal RNA". It matches the Rfam family "Bacterial small subunit ribosomal RNA", at positions 335 to 557 of the family's 1533-position model. The record is from RNAcentral.
ACUCCUACGGGAGGCAGCAGUGAGGAAUAUUGGACAAUGGGCGGGAGCCUGAUCCAGCCAUGCCGCGUGCAGGAAGACUGCCUAUGGGUUGUAAACUGCUUUUGUACAGGAAGAAACACUCCCUCGUGAGGGAGCUUGGACUGGUGACUGUAAGAAUAAGGAUCGGCUAACUCCGUGCCAGCAGCCGCGGUAAUACGGAGGAUCCAAGCGUUAUCCGGAAUCAUUGG